ACAGAUAAAUGAUCACCACUGGGGGCACAGAGAAUGUUUUAUUCUCCUUUUCAGGGGAGCCACUGGAGAAUUUUAAGUUCUGUGUUCAUAUUAGGUGUCCUUUAUUUGCAGGACUGGGGAUUGAACCCAAGGGCAUUCUACCACUGAGCUACAUCCCAGCCUUUUUAUUUCUUUGGUACUGGGAUUUGAACUCAGGAGUGCUUUACUGAGAGGCGUUGGAGAGGCGUUGCUAUGUGGCAGUCACAAGUCCUGAAAUGGUGGGAUUUUCUGCGUCAGUCCACUACAAAUUGAGAUUGGAACAGAAAAAUAUUUCACAGAGAUCCCAGGAAGUCAGAGAAGAGCCAACCAGAUGGACAGAGAGGACAAGAAAGACAGGAUCAUACACAAAUACACCUAUUUAAAAAGCCAAGAGUGUUUAAGCCCAAUGUUACAGGCCACGUGUGUCACCAGAGAGGCCAGGAGGUGUUUGAAGAAAAACAUGGACUUUGGAACCAGAAGCUCAGGGUGGGGGUACCAGGGAUCAAACCAACGAGGACUGUACCACUGAGCUACACCCCCAAGACAAGUUCUCGCUAAAUUGCUAAUUCAGCAGUCCUCCUGCCUCAGCCUCCCGAGUCGCUGGGAUUACAGGUGUGCACCAACCAUACAGGUCAGAAGUCUUGAUGACACACUGGAACACAGGGUCCGUCUUUUGCAGCUGGAAUCUGGCCAAGGCUGACCUCUGCCCCUGUAGAGGGUCCUCUCAUCCUCCCUUUCCUGGUGAGACCCUGCAGGACUCCAGGUGAGAGACUGGAGACUUCCUCCUUCACAGAACCGUAGCUCUUCUGAACUAGUCUUUGGGCUGAAGGUGGACUGAUGUCAGUGACCCCACAGACUAAGAGGGACGGAGCCUGUUAGUGCUUGGCCUCAGACUUCACUUCCCCUUUCUGGGCUGCAUCCUCUGGAGUAAGUGCUCCCUCUCCAUUGUCUGCCCAACCUGAUCCCCAGAUCCUGGACCUGGGAGGGAACUAACAGAUAACAGGGUAGGGGUGGCUGGCCUGGGGGGAGCUCCUCUGCAUUCUGGAAUGCUUUGAUCU
Non-coding RNA from Ictidomys tridecemlineatus (thirteen-lined ground squirrel), 1076 nucleotides. NCBI's taxonomy places the organism in Eukaryota, Metazoa, Chordata, Mammalia, Rodentia, Sciuridae. The record is from RefSeq and is a predicted model, not a curated record.